AGAGAAGCGAUUCAAGUCAGCGUAGCUAGGCCCAUCAAGCCUUUUUGCUUUGGACUAGCUUUGCCAGCGGUCUUGUCCCUUAAAAGGGACUUGACUUGUAAUGUGUCCAGCCUGGCGUGCACAGGCAGCCCCUUCUGGGGGCCAGUGGCAUGGCUGGUGGAAUGGCUUGCAAUCGACCCGUCUUGAAACACGGACCAAGGAGUCUAACAUGUAUGCGAGUAUAAGGGUGGCAAACCCGUAUGCGCAAUGAAAGUGAUUUUCGAUGAUUGAGAAUGGCCUGAUGACCAGACAAGCAAUACAUGUCCCUCGUACGGCCAUUGCCCAAGUUCCGUGGUAGAUCCCACGAACAUGGAGUUGGA
Molecule: ribosomal RNA, 359 nt
Filed under: Cantharellus pinetorum
Lineage: Eukaryota; Fungi; Basidiomycota; Agaricomycetes; Cantharellales; Hydnaceae
Description: partial large subunit ribosomal RNA
Rfam family: Eukaryotic large subunit ribosomal RNA
Source: RNAcentral